CGCGGUGGGAGGCUGUGGAACGCAAAUACUGAUGAGAAACUUCUGAGAAGACCCUCCAGAAUAGCCUCCACAUUCACGGUGUGUUCUAGACCCCGUGGUUCUCAAGGACGAUGGGAGUAAUUUUUCCCUCUAUGGAAUAUUUGGCAAUGUCUCGAGACAUUUUUGCUUCUCAUAACUGGGGCGGCAUGGGGGACAGUCCACUUCCGGUGAGUGGAGGGAGUAGUGGCCAGGGAUGGGGUGGGACCGGAGUGGUGCCCAGGACAGCCCACAGCAAGGAACGGUUCACCCACAGCAUCAUUAGCGCUGCUGCUGAGAAACACUGAAGGGAGAGCAGGUGCCUGAUUCCACCUCUGUGUCUUUUUUUAUUUUUUUACACUAUGUAAGUUUAAGGGAGGAGGGAAGUAGGCUUACUGAGCUAUAGUAUGACCAGAUAAAGCCUCCAAGCCUAGAUAAAGCCUCUAGGUGUACCCCCUGAACCUUUUUUUAAUGGAAAUGUGACAUCCUUGUUUUGACUUCUUGCAAUAAGUGUGUUUCUGAAGUGGAGGGAGCCAAGCAUCCCAGUUAAUGGAGGGAUCUGAGCUGCGCUUCACAAUGGCAGUCAUAUUAAGGGCAUUAGUCAAAUUGCAGGAAAAAAAAAUCAGCCCUCAAUGUAAUCAGAGCUCAGGUGGUGACACUGGCCAGACCACAUGUGCCUUCGGGGCCACAGCUGACUCUGUAGAGGAAGGGGCUUUGCUGAGAUCAUGUCUGAGACCCUUAUGUCAAGUUCCUUCUUUUAGAGUCAUACUGUGGAUGCACAGAGAAUGCCCUAAGUCUAGACAAAAGUGAUGGAGUGGUUUGACCGAUACCGCUUAAAGGGGAAAGACACAUUUAAACGAGGAGUUAGGAGUGUCCCUUUGGGGAUCUAGUGGUCCAGGACUGUGGAGAAGUAGAAUGCUUGCAGAGUUAGCAGAUGUGAAGGGGCGAGUCCACACACUCCUCGGCGCACCUCCCUGUCUCUCUGAUGUCUGCACCUGUGGGUGUCUGCCCUGAGAAGACUCGAGGUGCGAUGGAGGUGGAGGUGUUCAGCAUGGGAAGGGCCUCAGGGCAGAGCUAGCAGAACCCAGCUGACCCCUCGGUCAGCCCCUGCCCGGUGUUCUCCCUCCACCGUCCCCCGCCACCAAAAACCUACAGGGACAGAUGUCAUCGGGUCUUUGCUACAACGUGGCAUGUUUGAGGGGGACCUCAGGACCUGAAAAGCAGGGUAAGUCCGUGUGUAGAACGUGAAUCAACAUUUGCAUUUCUGUCCAAUUGUUCUGACAAGGUUAAAAUGAGGUCCCAAAAAACUCACCAACAAGCUUCCCAGUGGAAAAAGUUACCUCGCCAAAGGAAAUAAUAUUUCAAAGCAUUGAAUGGAAGAACAUUUAAAGGUCAUAAGAUAGAAUUUAAGCCCAGAGGAUGACUUUUUCUUGGCCCUACUUGCCAACUCUAUAGACCUAAACAAGUUACACCUAGAAGAUACGCAAAGGGAAGAGCAUCUGGCAACCAGACUUCCGUACCAGUCUGUUGAUUUUACUCAACUAUCAGAACGUGGCCAGGCUCCCGGGUCCGCCCGCUCCUUUCCAUGUCCACCUUCACCAUUUCAACCCAGUUUAAAGAGUCAUCUGCCUAGUAAGCCUUUUUAAGAUUUGUUCUAGUCCAUUCUUUUUUUUUUUAAGGGAGGGUGAAUAAUUAGGUUUCUUUAUUUUUUUAGUGGAGACACUAGGGGUUGAACCCAGGACCUCGUGCGUGCUAGGCACGUGCUCUAGCAGAGCUUUACCUCCCCCCACCCCCCGUUCUAGUCCAUUCUGUUUAUAACUGAUUACCUGUUUGCUGUGCUCAGGAGUCAAGGCCUGACUUUAUUUUGCCAUCAACAGCAUUGUUGAGGAUCUUUGUUAAGCUCUGGGCAGAGAGAGAGGAUUGGAACAAGGUACUCGAGGAGACAUCAGGGAACCGGAAAUCCAGCUGGGAAGGCAAGACACAUACAAAAUUGCUGCAGAGUGACUCAUGGUACCACCAUUCACAAGGCAAGGAGGAAGUAACUCCACCCAUCGCGGAGUCACACUGUGCAGUUUCCCAGGCUGGAGGGGGUCGUGCUUGUCACUGUCGCUGUCAAGAUGGCCCAUUGCACUCAUAGACUGGGUCACAAACUGAACCAUGCUCUUCUUCUGCCCGUAACUUCGAAUUGGGAGACCAAGCAAGUAAAGUGAGGAUUUAUUAUUAUGGCAUGCUCUCAAGGGGAGAGGAGGCAGACUCAGAUACUCCCUUUUGUGCCCAGUGUAGACCAGAUGUUGAUAAUAUAAAUAUAUAAACAUAAAUAAGAUAUGGUUUCUGCCCUCAAAGAGCUCAUAAGCCAAUUGGAGAGAAAGAUGGGACACAGAUAAAAGCACAGGAUGGUGGCUUCUGCCCGUCCAGGCAUAACAUCUGCUUUCCAGUCAGCCAGAAAUGGGAGAGGCACAUCUUGCCUUUUUAUUUUGGAACCCAGAAUCCAGCCCAGAGAGUGAUGCCUACGUCUUUUCAGCCAGAACUGCAUUGUACAGCUACUCUUAGAUGCAAGGAUAAGAGGAAGGCCUUCUGUCACUUCUCACCAGCCAUGUCCUCUUUCACGAGUGGCUGGGGAGAGAGUUGUAUGUGUACAGAGCACAUGUCUUCCAGAACCAAGAGCUGUGUCUCAUAAUCCCAUUUGCAGUGUAUGCAAGUUGAGAAGGGAAAACCUGACAUCCCCCUGCUCACUGGAGCUCACACAGAACCCAAAGAGUUAAGGUAGCAUUCCAACGAGCUGCAUGCGAGAGUCUCUAACAGGCUGUCCAGGGAGAGUCACUUGACCACGCUACGUUCAAUGAGAUCCCUGGCGAUAAAUCUUUCAGCAACAGGUUGAUCCCUCUCUGAAACAGACUGUCUAGCAAUGUUUCCACCUUCGGCACUUGUCGGGACGGAGUGAGUGCGAGGCGGGGGCCCGGCCACACAUGCAACCAACCGCAGACUAACACCUUGAAGGGCUUCCUCUUUCAAGGGCCGACUGGCAAUACUCUGGCUACUGCUGGGAGGGAGAGAAAAGGGAACAGUUUGCAAAGCCAAUAGUAACAGCAAACACAAUAGACCAUCUGCGAAAGGGAGUUGCUGAUCUGACUUCCAGAGGCUGAAGCAACAAGGUGAAAGGGACAGGACCCAGGACCCAGCUCCAUGUCACUUCCGAUGCCUCGCUCCUCUCAGUCUUCC
This is a non-coding RNA of Vicugna pacos (alpaca), 3234 nucleotides long. The record is from RefSeq and is a predicted model, not a curated record. NCBI's taxonomy places the organism in Eukaryota, Metazoa, Chordata, Mammalia, Artiodactyla, Camelidae.